This 253-nucleotide ribosomal RNA is filed under the name uncultured bacterium. Its description in RNAcentral is "partial 16S ribosomal RNA". It matches the Rfam family "Bacterial small subunit ribosomal RNA", at positions 524 to 776 of the family's 1533-position model. The record is from RNAcentral.
UACGUAGGGUGCAAGCGUUAAUCGGAAUUACUGGGCGUAAAGCGUGCGCAGGCGGUUGUGUAAGUUUGAUGUGAAAUCCCCGGGCUCAACCUGGGAAUUGCAUUGGAUACUGCACGGCUAGAGUGCGUCAGAGGGGGGUAGAAUUCCACGUGUAGCAGUGAAAUGCGUAGAGAUGUGGAGGAAUACCGAUGGCGAAGGCAGCCCCCUGGGAUGACACUGACGCUCAUGCACGAAAGCGUGGGGAGCAAACAGG